Molecule: long non-coding RNA, 6279 nt
Organism: Herpailurus yagouaroundi (jaguarundi)
Lineage: Eukaryota; Metazoa; Chordata; Mammalia; Carnivora; Felidae
Exons: 3
Source: RefSeq, a predicted model, not a curated record
UCAGAGUUAGAAGGGAAUCAAGAGAGUAUCCAGAACAAUACUUAUUUCUGAAGAUGAAGGUUCAAGGUAACAGAAAAUAGAAGCACCAGGCUCCAAGUGUCUGGUUUAGGAAUCUGCUUCUCCAACGUCUCAUCAUCCGCACUUGAUCUUCAUUGCCGAUGGGAAUGCAAAAUGGUGCAACCUGUAUGGAAGGGAUUUGGCAGCAUCUGGCAAGAGUGCACACACCUGGAAUCCGCAAACCCACUUCUAGGAAUCUAUCUCAAAGAUAAAAUGGCAAAAACACAAAGUGACCUAUGCAUGAGGCUAUUAAUUCUAGCACUGUUUGCGAGAACAAAAGCUUAGAAACAGCCCAAGUGUCCUUCAGGAUCAUAAACUAUGGCACAGCCACCAUGGAGCACCAUGCAGCUGGAAAAAAGAAAGGUGGAAGCUUUCCACACGGAAGCUUCCACAGACUAUAACCGUGUGAUCUUCUGCAUUCAUUCAGUGGAAAAAGCAAGGCGUAGGAGAAAAGUUACAAUAUGCUACUUCUGGUAUAAAAGUGGUGGUGACGGUAGGGAAUCUAUAUACACAUUUGCUUAUGUGUGGUUUUUUUUUUAAGCAAUGUGUGGCUCUCUGACUCUUACAGUUUUUGGAAACUCUGCUACUGUUUCCUGCCAGUCACUUGCUAAAAUGCGCCUGAGACUGUCAUUCUGCUUGGAUACCCUGCCGCACCCUGCUCACUGUGUUGCCAGUGUUGCCCUCUAGCACAAGUCUGUGCCUCUCCCACCAGAUUCCAGCUCUCUGUCCUUGCUUGGCUGGCUCUGUGUUCCCACAACCCUCUCUGACCUACCACUUCUAGACGAGAGCAAUGCAGAGGGCCAAAACUACAAAAUAAAUGAUGGUUUCAAAAGCAACCUAUAGGCAUUCAGGACUACUAAACUUACUAUGUAUAUAAUGUAACCUAGGGGUAUCUGGGUAGCUCAGUUGGUUAAGCAGUUAAACCUCCGACUUCGGCUCAGGUCAUGGUCUCACAGUUCAUGAGUUCUGGUCCCGCAUCAGGCUCACUGUUCUCAGUGCGGAGCCUGCUUAAGGCUCUGUCUGCACCCCCCAACCCUUCCUCACACUCUCUCACUCUUAAAAAAAAAAAGGAAACUGUAUUUUGUUGUUUCCUGUACUUAAGAACAGAAGUUCUCAGUUAAAGCAAGUGCCCUUCGGUUGGGCAAAUCACUUUCCUGGAGCAAAAAAGAUAAAGUAAGCUGACAGGCUUUCACUUAGAGAAGUGUGUAAAUUAAAGUAAGUCUAGAAUAAAUUUAUCAGAAGCCAAGCUCAUUGGUACAUGUGAAAGAAACCCUUGGAAUUCUAUUGACUUGGCAUAGUGCUGGGUCUAUAGUGAAUAUUCAGGGAAUAGUUAUUGAAUAUUUGUUGAAUUCAGAUAGCUUUUGUAAAGCUGUCUGAAAAGUAAAGUAAUGUUCAUUAGCCCAUGAAGAAACAACCUCUUAAAAUAAAUUUCUAGGUAGCUCAGCAAAAGUGGAAAGAAAUGUGAAAGAGUAAGGGAAACUUCUGGCUUGGUUUGAUAAGAGCCCUGGCUUAAUUUCAAUACACUUGGUAAGUAGAGUUUAGGCUAAUGUUGCUCUGGCCUCCAUAAUGCAGUCCAGGGAAUAACUACUAUUCCAGACACAAUAGGCGGUCAGCUUUUCAACAUCAGUGGUGUUUUUUGCCUAUAGUUGUAAUCUGUAGACACCUCGGUGGUUACAAAAGACUCCUUAGUUCCCUCCAAAUAUAUUAGUCCUUGUUAGACAUGCAAAUCUUUUCGAAUUCCAUAGGGAAAUAAAUCACCAUUAAAAAAAACCCCAGAAUUUGAAGGAUGAAAUGAAAGACAGGUAAGACAGUUCCCAGAGUCCACAUGCUGCUUUCAGAAAGCCCAAGCAAUCCUCAAAAUUCUAAAGCUAUCAGAGGUGACUGCCCUCAAAGCACACAGGGCGCCCUGUGUAAAUGUCUAGGGUGCCCCUGUCUUUCCAUCAUGGUCUGUUAUAUUCUCUUCUAAGGCACACAAGUCCUCCCAUGUCUGAGAAUAGGGUGUAUCCAAGAAGUCAAAUUGCAAAUGAAGAAUACAAUAUCAGGGUGAGAAUCUCUUUUACUUGAUGGGAUUUUAUAUUGAUUUCCCAUAUUUAGGAUUUAUUUCCAACAGUCAUCCUUCCUCCCCAAGCAAUAAUGAUUUCAAAGGAGAGAUCAAGACAGUGCAAAGAAGGGAGAAUGCUAGAAACAGGAGUUCUGAAUUAAUGAGUUUGGGAGAAGUAGACAAUCAAUCUGAAUAAUUAGGAUCAAACCCCAAGCUUUGUUUUUGCAUGGCUGUGUAGUUCUGGUCAAGGAGCUAAUUUUAAAUGAUUAGCCACUCCUGUCUUUUAAAUAGGUUCUUAAAUAAAACACUUAAUCUUGAUCUAUGAGUACAUAUGCAAAACAAGGAGAGGGGAUUGGAAUAUUCUAUGGAUAAUUUGUGAUGAAGAUGACUUCUACUUUAAACAUCUCGGUAGCAGCAAGAGUUGUUUUUCAAAAUUUGAUGUUUACGUAAUUUCUUAAGUUCCCUAUUAUCCUGCUAAAGUGAAUGAUUUAGGGUAUGGAUGCUUUAAUUAUCCAGUUUUAUUAUUAUCACAUUAAACUUUAACAUUAAUUAGAUAAGUUUUUACUUUCACUUGAUUUUGCAUUGUUUUGUUAGUUUCCUAUUAUCUGCAGAGUGAAAUUCGACAAAAAUUUAGAGGGCCACAGUGUUCUAAAUAUAAGGCAUUAUAUACAGUUAAUUAGUGUGGUCUCUGUCCCAAUAUAGGGGUAUGUACAGGAAAGAUCAAGGUAUUUUCCAAUAUUGUAAUGCUGUAAUGAAAAAGUUUGGUCUGGAAUUGUCUUCAACUUAGAUACUUUGUAGGCACAACCAUUCUUAUAUUUUCCAUAAGGCUAUUCGAUUUCCCAUCAGUCCAGAGCAACAACAAAAAUAUUAUUUAAAAAUGCCCAUUAGGAGUAAAUAGAUAUUGAUAACAAAAGGGAAAAAGAAUUUUCUGGCCUUCAUGUCUUUAUCAGGCUGACAACAUGAGUUUCUCUGAAUGACUCAUAUCUUGGCUUUUUCUUUCUAGCAACAGAGCCUGGAUCCAGAAGAACCCUCAAUUAAGAUACUAUAUCGAAAUCAGUCAUUUUGAAAAAGUAUGGCAAGAAAGAGAAUUUCUGACUGUUAAAUACAAAUGCUUUCUUUUGAAACAUUUUCUGGAUCACUGGAGUUAGUGUCUCUGACCUAAUAAUUUAGGGCUCAAUAGUCUGAUACUUUGCAGCUGACAAAAUUAGAUGUAUUAGGAUGAAGUUGCUAUAUUUCCAUAUAUACAUAUCUGCACAAAUGUAUAAAUACAGAAAUUUCUUCUGUAAGCAUGUAGAUCCAUACAUAAUUAUGAAUCUAAAAAGGCUACUUUUUGAUCAACAUCUCAGCUAUAAUAGGAUAUUUCCUUUAUUUUAUUCAUGAAGUAUCAUUUAAUGUUGACUCUGUGAAAAGUACUGUGCUUGUAGGUGGGUGGACACAAAGGUGAAAGAUAGAUGUUACAUCUGUCCUAAGGGAGGAGAAAAUUUAGAGAGAGACAAAUGUCAAGUCCACAGCAAUUCCCAGAGCAAGGCACACAGGUGAUGGUCUCCUCCCCAAACUGGCUUAUGUAACGGACAAACACAGACAGUAUCAACUUUCUAGAAGAGGGACCGGCUGACACUUGUCAUCAGAGUCGAGCUUAUUAAAUAUCGAUGGGCACUUAAGAGGAUUUUCUGAGCUAACUUUCUCUUAGUCUGGAACAUUCAGCAAAAUAAAACUCUGCCAGAGUAUAGAUUAUGCUUCAUCAUAACGCCUCUCAAAGAUCCAAGGAAGUUUACAGAAACUUAUUUUAGAAACUUGAAAAAAAAUAAAAGCUCUAGGAUUUUAUGCCCUGCUAAUUUUAUGAGCAGUAAAUGACAACUUAAAUGGUUAUGAAAUAUAGACUUUUAAAAUUAGGAACAAGAUCUAUCCUCUAAUCAGCAGCCAUAUUAAUUAGCCCAAACAUUUUAAAAUUUAUACAGAAAUCAUUCAAAAACACUCGGUACCCCGCAUUAAUUUAGUCAGGCUGCUGGUCAUGAGUGCUGGCCCUGAGGAUGUUAAGAGCUUUGUCUGUCUUGUCUUCUUCAGAAGGUUCUCUAUCACAGGACUUUUGGACCACGAUUUGUGUCCUUUGUGAGAAACUCUCGUUCAUCACUCCCGUCUUCACUUCUUGCACUUCCUCACUUCCUCCAUGAUGUAGGGCUUUAUUCUACUUACUGCUUUUCUGUUGCUGUGGUAACCAUUUACCAACUUAACAAAAUGCAAAUUUAUUAUCUGUCGAUUCUGUAGUUCAAAAGUUUGAAAGAGGUCUCACUGGGGUAAAAUUAGCGUGUUGACAGGGUUGUGUCCCUUUUAGGAGGCUCUAGGGGACAACCCAUUUCUUUGCUCGUUCCAGCUUCUCAGGGCCAAGUUCCUUGGAUCCUGGCCCCCUCCUCUGUCUUCAAAGCCAGCAACAUAUGCCUUUCUCCUUUUGUCACAAGUUCCUAUGACUGUAUUCUGAUUCCUUCUUCUACUUUUAAAGACCCUGGUGAUUACAUGGGGCCCACCUGGAUAUUCUAGGAUAAUCUCCCUAUUUUAAAGUCAGCUGAUUAGUAAUCUUAAUUCCAUUUGCAGCCACAAUUGCCUUUUACCAUAUAACAUAACAUAUUGACAUGUGCUAGGAACAUAGAUAUUUCUGGAGUGUCAUUUUGCCUAUCACAUUAUUAUAGAAGGCUAAUAAGUAUCAUUUUUUUUGAGAGAGAGAGAGAGAGAGAGCGAGAGGGCAGAGGACAGGCAGAGGGAGAGCAAGAAAGAGAAUCUUAUUCAGGUUGCACACCGGUGCAGAGCCGACAGGGAGCUAUCUCACGACCAUAUCAGGACCUGAGCUGAAAUCAAGAGUUGGAUGCUUAACCCACUGAGCCACCCAGGCACUCAGUAUCAUUCUUUUGUGCUCACUGAUUGCUUCAUGACUGUUGGUCCAUUUUCCUGACCAUUUUCUAAGGGCCUUAGGGGCAAGGCUAGUGGAUCACAGGAGUUUUUGCUACCUCACUCAUUGUAGUUAAGGGAUCUAUUGGAACAAAGCACAAAAAUGCUUAACCUGAAUGUUUACAAUACUUCUCAAAUGUCCCCCCCUUAAGUCUAGUGUCUAUCUGUGCCACCAUGACUGACUCCUCACUGAGUGUCCACGAGCUCUAAAACAUUCAAUGCAAAUCUGUUGUAAAGUGAAAUUAAUACUCUUGAGAGACAGGAUUUCAUAAAGUUAUAGGAAGUGAUGGAGGCUUGCUUGUAAGGCCACUGUGUAAGGCUACACAUGUAAGGCUACCGGCAAAUGGGAGUUUAGACCAGACAACAUCGAAGCAAGAUGAACUGGGAAGGAGACCCCUGCCUCACAGGAGAAGCCCUUGGAAAGACUGGUGAGUGUGUCAAAUAUGGCCUCUUUAUGGUCAUGCUGCACGGAGAGAAGUGAAGUGAGGAAGUGAUGUGAUGUCAUGCAAUUUGACCUGAUCAACAGGUAAUUUGUUCAUUCUUUAAGAAUCAGUAUACAGUCACAGUGCUAAUUUGCACAUUGAAAACUUUCAAAAAUGUAAAUCCUCUUAAAAAUCCUCUUGAAAUCCUCCAAUGGCUUCCUCUCGCAUUUAGAAUGACAUGCGGACUCCCUGCCUAGGCCUGGAAAGCCCCGCGUGGCGUUGCAUCUCAUACAAAGAUGAGGUCUGUCUGACCUCAUCUCCUCCACUCUCCACCUUGAUCACCAGCCUCUUGCCAAGCUCCUCCCCACUUUUAGCAUUCUCACUGGUCUCUACGCCUGCAGUGCUUGUCCUGCAGACUGCUGCAUCUCUGGCUCCUUCUUGUCAUUCAGACCUCAGUGAAAUGUUACCUCCUCAGUGAGACUUUCGUCAUCUCUCUACCCCAACUCCUUGUUUCACUUCCUGGCACGGCGCUAUCACAACUCUGAGAUUUUUCUUGUUAAUUAGAUAAUUAGCUCCAAGAGAACAAGGUAGGUGCCAAUCUGGCUUACUGCUGUAUCCUCUGUGCCCAGAACAGUGCCUGGCAGAGAGAAGGGGCUCAAUUACGGGUAACAUGCAAGAAUGUGCAAUUGGGUUUAUACAUGACUUUGUUAUGGUAUCAUUUGGGCUGGCAAACAUCUAUGUUCAAAACUGACUUUACAGUGUUGUAGAAUUUACUCUGCUCUCUGUGAACGUUUCUAAUAAAUGUCCGUAUAGCAAAUC